Molecule: long non-coding RNA, 340 nt
Filed under: Homo sapiens (human)
Lineage: Eukaryota; Metazoa; Chordata; Mammalia; Primates; Hominidae
Description: novel transcript, antisense to WDR91
Source: RNAcentral
CUGAGCAGCCACAUCACAGUCCAGGAGGUGCCGCUUCCACAUUUUGUGCUGCUACAUGUAUGCCGUGCUCUACAUGGGUCACAGGGGGAUUCUGCCUUGGAAGCAAAGCAACAGUAAAGAGUGCUCAAUCAAUUGGUGAAUAUUGAUGGAAGGAGGAGGCUUCGAAUUCCUCUGGCUUAUUUGAAAGCCACUUGUAACACUUCCCCAGCAGGAGCAAACAAUAAAACACUGAGAAGUACAAAGGAACUGGAAGAAAAUCUAUUUUGGGAUCAAAGAGCUCCUUCCACCAAGGGAAGCAGAACCCCUGAAUCAACAGGCACCUGGAUUGUGUAGACAAGAU